UGGCUGUGUCCCAAUUCCUAGGACGCAUCCUUCGAAGGCUGCAUUCGAAGGAUGCAUCGACGCCGAUUGCGUCACAGCGACGCGCCAAGUGCUGUCCCAAUUCCAAGGGUCCUUCAAAUGCGGCCUACGAAUGCAGCCUUCUUUUCCCGGAUUUGAAGGAUGCAUCGGCUGUAUCCUUCACGGCCCAACGUAUCCCAAGAUCCUUCACGGCCCAACGUAUCCCUCCCAAGAUUCAUUGCGCACUCAAUCAAUGGAGUUGGCGAAGAAUGGCGAUUUAAGUUUUGCAUUUAAAUGGAGCCAGCAGCAUACUGCUCGAUUUAUUCUAUAGAGGGGGGAGAACGAUGAGCUGUUCACCGGGGUGAAAUACUCGGCAAGUGUGGCUUGGGGGAUUGCAAGUAUCCAGGGUCAGGAGAGGGGGUAGGUGGGAAACCCACUGCUGCAACUUGGCCCUGGUUGGUCCUCAUGGAUGAGGUAUUGGGACAGAGGCAUUCCACCAACCCCCCUGUCCUAAUUGCCUCCAUCCCUGAGAACACACCAGGGCCAAGUACAGCAAGUACAGCAGUGGUGGAUCAGGAGGUGGGAGGACAAGGAUCAGGAGGAGGAAAGACAGCGAGGGCCAAGGUCCAGAAAGAGGGACAGAGAGGAAGACAUGUUCCAGAGUCGCUCACCAUCUUCCGAAAAGGACUCAAGACUCACCUGUUCAGAGUCCACCUCGACUCUGCAUAGCCACCCUCCCCCUUCUGGCCACCAUUGUACACUGUGUUGUAUUGUAUUGUAUUGUAUUGUAUUGUAUUGUAUUGUAUUGUAUUGUAUUGUAUUGUAUUAUAGACAGUACUUAACUGUGUAACAACUGCAGUAGCUGCUAUCAUGGCUGUAACACGGGGAAUUGAUUAGCCGAUUGUGGUACUUGCACUUGGUUCUAUGAACAUCCUUUCUGUACCGACAGCGAUAUAUUGAUGCACUUCUUAUGACAAAUGUACUUAUUGUAAGUCGCUUUGGAUAUAAGCGUCUGCUAAAUGCCCUAAAUUUAAAUGUAAAAUGUAAAUGUUCCUGUUAAUAAAAGAGGACAUGAGGCUACAAAGGGAGGCAGAGGAGAGAAGAGCCCAGGAGAGAAGGGAAAGAAUGGAUAGGUUUUUCUCAAUUUGAGCGUUUGGUGGACAAAUAACUUAUGUUCUGUUAUAUUUAACACAUUGUUUAUUAUUAUUUACAUAUUUAUUGAAACUAACUUAUUUAACUAACUAUUUAACUAACUUUUUUGAUUAACUAUUUAUUAAAACCCUAACUAACUUUUUUGUAUUGACUAAUGUAUUCGUAUAUAACUUAUAAAACAUAUAUACAACAAUAAAACAUUCAUGUGACUAUUUACAACAAUUAUUAUAAAACUUGUAUACAAAAA
Gadus macrocephalus (Pacific cod) is the source of this 1396-nucleotide long non-coding RNA. RefSeq lists it as uncharacterized. NCBI's taxonomy places the organism in Eukaryota, Metazoa, Chordata, Actinopteri, Gadiformes, Gadidae. The transcript has 3 exons. The record is from RefSeq and is a predicted model, not a curated record.